AGCGAACGCUGGCGGCAGGCUUAACACAUGCAAGUCGAGCGGGCGUAGCAAUACGUCAGCGGCAGACGGGUGAGUAACGCGUGGGAACGUACCUUUUGGUUCGGAACAACACAGGGAAACUUGUGCUAAUACCGGAUAAGCCCUUACGGGGAAAGAUUUAUCGCCGAAAGAUCGGCCCGCGUCUGAUUAGCUUGUUGGUGAGGUAACGGCUCACCAAGGCGACGAUCAGUAGCUGGUCUGAGAGGAUGAUCAGCCACAUUGGGACUGAGACACGGCCCAAACUCCUACGGGAGGCAGCAGUGGGGAAUAUUGGACAAUGGGGGAAACCCUGAUCCAGCCAUGCCGCGUGAGUGAUGAAGGCCCUAGGGUUGUAAAGCUCUUUUACCCGGGAUGAUAAUGACAGUACCGGGAGAAUAAGCCCCCGGCUAACUCCGUGCCAGCAGCCGCGGUAAU
This 453-nucleotide ribosomal RNA is filed under the name uncultured bacterium. Its description in RNAcentral is "bacterial SSU rRNA". It matches the Rfam family "Bacterial small subunit ribosomal RNA", at positions 29 to 524 of the family's 1533-position model. The record is from RNAcentral.